CCCUUAGAUGUUCUGGGCCGCACGCGCGCUACACUGAUGCAUUCAACAAGCCUAGCCUUGACCGAGAGGUCCGGGUAAUCUUUGAAACUGCAUCGUGAUGGGGCUAGAUUAUUGCAAUUAUUAAUCUUCAACGAGGAAUGCCUAGUAAGCGUGAUUCAUCAAAUCGCGUUGAUUACGUCCCUGCCCUUUGUGCACACCGCCCGUCGCUCCUACCGAUUGAAUGUGUUGGUGAGGAGCUCGGAUUGGCAGCAGUUGGUGGUUCGCCACCGGCUAUUGCUGAGAAGUCCUCCAAACCGCCCCAUUUAGAGGAAGGAGAAGUCGUAACA
RNAcentral lists this ribosomal RNA (326 nucleotides) under uncultured eukaryote. RNAcentral's name for it is "partial 18S ribosomal RNA". It matches the Rfam family "Eukaryotic small subunit ribosomal RNA", at positions 1470 to 1796 of the family's 1831-position model. The record is from RNAcentral.